GACGAACGCUGGCGGCGUGCUUAACACAUGCAAGUCGAACGGAAAGGCCGUCUUUGCCUUGUGUUUUGCGUGGACUCGAGUGGCGAACGGGUGAGUAACACGUGAGUGAUUUUUUCGCAAGUUAGGUAGAAGGGUGGGAAACUGUGUCAAAUCACCGAUAGUACGGCAGGGUGCUGGCGAUCGUGGGACAUUGUGUGCUAGUGUGAGGCGAUGAGCGCGCGGCCGAUCAGCUUGGUGGUGGGGUAAUGGCCCACCAAGGCGACGACGGGGAGCUGGACUGGGAGGGUGAUCGGCGACACUGGAACUGGGACACGGUCCAGACUCCUACGGGAGGCAGCAGUAGGGAAUGUUGGACAAUGGGCGCAAGCCUGAGCCAGACACACCGCGUGGGUGAGGAAGGCCUUCGGGUUGUAAAGCUCUUUUGUUGUGGAAGAAGAGCAGCAGAUUUAUAUCCAGCGGUUGUGACGGUACCCGAAGAAGAAGCACCGGCUAACUACGUG
Molecule: ribosomal RNA, 500 nt
Filed under: uncultured bacterium
Lineage: Bacteria
Description: partial 16S ribosomal RNA
Rfam family: Bacterial small subunit ribosomal RNA
Source: RNAcentral